GUUCUUGUUACAUUACUGAAUGCAUCACAGACCAAGGAUUCAGCUCCCUUUUCCUCCCAUGAUCCAGCCUGUUGUCUCAAAGCAAGAAUUCUGAGCGUUUGGAAAUAAGAGAUACAGUAAUAUGCAGGCCAGAGAUGAAAUGCGCAGGGAACUACAUCGAGGUCUCUUGGUGUGGCUGAGUACAAUUAGU
Molecule: long non-coding RNA, 190 nt
Filed under: Fukomys damarensis (Damara mole-rat)
Lineage: Eukaryota; Metazoa; Chordata; Mammalia; Rodentia; Bathyergidae
Description: lncRNA (ENSFDAG00000023640.1)
Source: RNAcentral